This 344-nucleotide long non-coding RNA is filed under the name Mytilus galloprovincialis (Mediterranean mussel). The record is from RNAcentral. Lineage: Eukaryota; Metazoa; Mollusca; Bivalvia; Mytilida; Mytilidae.
CUGUUCUUCCUCGAAUCCUGCUGGAGAAUUGUUUUGUGUUGUGAACUCACCCAUGUUGAUAAGGUCUGUAUAAUGUUGACAUGCAGUUCGUAUUGCGUGGUGUGAACAUAUGAGAAUACCUAUGUAUGUUAAUCAAAGGGGAUGUUGCUACUGAGAAAUAUGAGAAUAGAAAAACUUAAAUUUCCAAUUUUGUCUAAGAUACUGAAGCCGGCUAUGUAUAUUGAUUUCAAGAUAUCUAAACAUGAAGCAAUCUAUAUUAUCCUUAUUGUCAGGCUCACUAAGAUAUAUAAGAUGCACUGGUUGAAAUGUGUUGAAAUGACGAUUGCAACGUGUGAAGCAGGAAC